GAUGAACGCUGGCGGCGUGCCUAAUACAUGCAAGUCGAGCGAACAGACGAGGCGCUUGCUCCUCUGACGUUAGCGGCGGACGGGUGUGUAACACGUGGAUAACCUCCCUAUAAGACUGGGAUAACUUCGGGAAACCGGCGCUAAUACCGGAUAAUAUAUUGCACCGCAUGGUUCAAUAGUGAAAGACGGUUUUGCUGUCGGUUGGGGAUGGAUCCGCGCCUCAUUAGCUAGUUGGUAGGGUCGGGGCUUACCAAGGCAACGAUGCGUAGCCGGCCUGAGAGGGUGAGCGGCAACAGUGGGACUGAGAGACGGACCAGACUCCUACGGGAGGCAGCAGUGGGGAAUAUUGAAAAAUGGGCGGAAGCCUGAUGCAGAAACGCCGAGUGCGGGAUGACGGCCGUCGGGUUGUAAACCGCGUUCGCAUGUGACGAAGCGUGAGUGACGGUAAUGGGUAAAGAAGCAACGGCUAACUACGUG
Molecule: ribosomal RNA, 477 nt
Filed under: uncultured bacterium
Lineage: Bacteria
Description: partial 16S ribosomal RNA
Rfam family: Bacterial small subunit ribosomal RNA
Source: RNAcentral